Molecule: non-coding RNA, 184 nt
Filed under: Lysobacteraceae bacterium
Lineage: Bacteria; Pseudomonadati; Pseudomonadota; Gammaproteobacteria; Lysobacterales; Lysobacteraceae
Description: 6S RNA
Rfam family: 6S / SsrS RNA
About the family: E. coli 6S RNA was the first non coding RNA to be sequenced, but its function was unknown until recently. It consists of 184 nucleotides that fold into an extended hairpin structure with a large single-stranded internal bulge.
Source: RNAcentral
CAUCCCCUGCGGUGUUCGACAUCGGGCAACGUGUUCCUUGAGCCUCAAAGCACAGCCCAGGGAACCUCAGCCGGCGUCAGUGUGCAGGUCCGCCUCGCAGCGGAAAGCCUAAGACUCCGGCGCUCGUUCCCACCUGAACCUCAGGGUUCAAGGGCUAGGCCCGGACGGCACAGGCGGGGGAUGC